CCUACGGGAGGCAGCAGUAGGGAAUAUUGCUCAAUGGGGGAAACCCUGAAGCAGCAACGCCGCGUGGAGGAUGAAGGUUUUCGGAUUGUAAACCCCUUUUGUUAGGGAAGAUAAUGACGGUAUCUAACGAAUAAGCACCGGCUAACUCCGUGCCAGCAGCCGCGGUAAUACGGAGGGGGCAAGCGUUACCCGGAAUCACUGGGCGUAAAGAGAGCGUAGGCGGGAUAGCAAGUCAGAUGUGAAAUCCUAUGGCUUAACCAUAGAACUGCAUUUGAAACUGUGAUUCUAGAGUAUGGGAGGGGUAGGUGGAAUUCUUGGUGUAGGGGUAAAAUCCGUAGAGAUCAAGAGGAAUACUCAUUGCGAAGGCGACCUGCUAGAACAUAACUGACGCUGAGGCGCGAAAGCGUGGGGAGCAAACAGGAUUAGAUACCCCUGUAGUC
RNAcentral lists this ribosomal RNA (440 nucleotides) under uncultured bacterium. Its description in RNAcentral is "partial 16S ribosomal RNA". It matches the Rfam family "Bacterial small subunit ribosomal RNA", at positions 338 to 795 of the family's 1533-position model. The record is from RNAcentral.